GCGCGAUAGCCAAGUGGUAAGGCAAUGGUCUGCAACACCAGUAUCCGCCGGUUCAAAUCCGGCUCGCGC
Molecule: transfer RNA, 69 nt
Filed under: pig gut metagenome
Rfam family: tRNA
About the family: Transfer RNA (tRNA) molecules are approximately 80 nucleotides in length.
Source: RNAcentral